GGGAAGAGCAAAAGACAAGCACAAGAGAAUAAUGAAGCAGGGAAGAGGGACGGUCCUAAAAUUUUGCCUGAAACACACAUACAGCAGGGAUGUGUGACAGAAGCAAAGCUGAUGUGCUUGUGCAAUAAUUUUGUGAGUACUGGAGGAGCCAGGCAUUUCCCCAUGCCUAUAGAUGUGUCCGCAGAGCAGCCUGUCAGAUUCCAACAAAUCUGCAAAUUCUGCUAAACACCUUGACACAAGGACAUGAAAAAGGAAAAAUGAAGCUGAAGUGUCCAGUGGAAACCAACAAAAAUGAUGAAAGGCCUGGGAACCCUGAUUUAUAAGGAGAAGUCGAAAGAACAAGGAUUAUUUAGUCUGGAAAAGAGAAGACUGAGGAUGAAUUUGAUAAACAGUCUUCAAAUUAGGGGUGCACCAAUAAAAAUUUUUAGGGCCAAUACCGAUAGGCGAUAUUUAAGGAGUCAUAUCAGCCGAUGUUGAUCCAAUUUCAGAUACA
Molecule: long non-coding RNA, 493 nt
Organism: Alligator sinensis (Chinese alligator)
Lineage: Eukaryota; Metazoa; Chordata; Crocodylia; Alligatoridae
Exons: 3
Source: RefSeq, a predicted model, not a curated record